AAUAAUACCUGAUAGUCUCUACGGAGUAAAUGAUGCCUUCGGGUGUCGCUAAAGGAUGGGCUCGCGGCCUAUCAGUUUGUUGGUGAGGUAAAGGCUCACCAGACUACGACGGGUAGCUGGUCUGAGAGGACGAUCAGCAACACUGGAACUGAGACACGGUCCAGACACCUACGGGUGGCAGCAGUCGAGAAUCAUUCACAAUGGAGGAAACUCUGAUGGUGCAACGCCGCGUGGAGGAUGACGGCCCUAGGGUUGUAAACUCCUGUCAUUGGGGAGUAAGACUUAUGCGUUAAGAGCG
Molecule: ribosomal RNA, 298 nt
Filed under: uncultured bacterium
Lineage: Bacteria
Description: partial 16S ribosomal RNA
Rfam family: Bacterial small subunit ribosomal RNA
Source: RNAcentral